AAUCUAUCAACAAACCACAACACCGUGAACAAACCAUGUUGGCCACGCCUCACUUUUUGUGAGACGCUGGUCUUUUGCCAACCAACCAACACCAAACGAACAACUAACUAAACAUGAGGGCGCAGCUCAGAGCUGUACCUUCACAAACCAAGA
RNAcentral lists this unclassified non-coding RNA (153 nucleotides) under Volvox barberi. RNAcentral's name for it is "ITS1". Lineage: Eukaryota; Viridiplantae; Chlorophyta; Chlorophyceae; Chlamydomonadales; Volvocaceae. The record is from RNAcentral.